CCAGCCUGGAGAUAGGCUAUUACUCAGUCACGGACACCAUGGAAACGCAGGCGCAGAUGUAAGAAAUGAGGGAAAAGUGCUGCGUCACCGAGUGUAUCACAUCCUGGACUGCUGAAGCGGAUUUGUCAAAGUCGGCCGCUGCUGCUUCAAGACCUGCCCCAGAAUGGCUUUGUACAGAGCUGUGACAUCAAUAAAAUCAACCAGACCAGUAACAUACCAAUUUCAAAUACAGGUAUCAGAGAAAUCAUAAGCCCUGAAAUGAGACUUCAAUCCAAUUGCUCAUCAGAAACAUUCAGUUUAAAGUCAAGAAAUCAGAAGAACACACAGUGCAUCUUCCAAAAUGAUUAAGAUCUUUUUAUAAAGUACUUCAGGUAGCUGCACAUUUUUGUGAAUUAUAGUGAAGCUUGAAUAUUUUUG
Erpetoichthys calabaricus (reedfish) is the source of this 417-nucleotide long non-coding RNA. RefSeq lists it as uncharacterized. Lineage: Eukaryota; Metazoa; Chordata; Cladistia; Polypteriformes; Polypteridae. The record is from RefSeq and is a predicted model, not a curated record. The transcript has 4 exons.